UAGUAUUGAUGCUAAGGUGUUUCUUUGCAACAUAUAAAAAAUGUUUGUUCUCCUCCACUUUUUCAGAUGUGCCAGCAAAAAAACCAAACCAAACCAAACCAACAUCAACCAAACAAAAAAACCAAAAAUAGGUAAUGUAUGGAAGGAUAAGAAGCUAAAAGCUCCUCUUUCUGUCCAGGUCAAGCCAACUUAAACUUUUUCCCCUCUAGCAGCACAUGCAAAUUAACAGUUAAAUCAGAUUGAAGGACCAAGCGCAUUUGUCCCACAUUUCUUUAAUCACUUCCAAUCUAAAGUCAUUUAGUCCUCUUCACUGCCUUGCAUGUGAUGCCAGGGGGAGGCACAUGCUAUGCGGCCAGCCUAGCUCGGAGCAGGCGUCUCCCUGUGUUCUAUUCACCAUUCCCUGAAGUUAUUCAGGUCAUGCUUUCCAGGUCAGAUCAGAGCAGCACCUGUGAUUUUUAAUAAGCAUGCUUUUGUAGGCUCCCAACAAUGGCAAGAAGCCCACCAAGAAGGUAGGUGACUGCAGGUACACAGAAAAUUAAAUUUAUUAAGUUUUUUCCCCCCUCCCUCUUACUAUUGCUACAGGCAAGGCUGUAGUGGAAGACCAGUGCUCUCAAUCCAUGCUGCUCUCUCAGAUAGCCUCCACAAAUGUCUUUACUGCAUCGACUUGAUACUGACAUCACAGUUAAUCUACCCCUCCUGGCUGCAUCAACUUCUUCUCUGGCCAAGGAAGGACAAUGCCUCACUACCACCAGCUCAUGGCACGCUCAGCAAGCAGGGGGGAACUCGGCUGCAACUGCUACCAUCUCUGCUUGAAACCCACUGCUUCCUUUGCCUUUUUCUCUUCCCCCCUCUCCACACAGUUACAACACUAAGUACAUGAAGUCAGUCUCAAGGCGUCCUUGAUAUGAAGAAACAAAGCAAAGCAAAUUAAAGCUCUGCAGUCUUUGAUCACCAACUAUGAAUAACCAAGAUGAUCUAGUCACAAGGCAAAUAAAUUGUGUAUAAUUUUGUAUAGUAGCCUUUUAAAAGAUGCCAAGAAAAGGACCCACAUUGCAAUUCAGUGGGAACUAUUAGAUUUCAACCGUUCUAGUUCGAACAUCAAAAUAAAAGCUGUGAAGUAUUUUCAUUCCAGACUUUAUUUGGAACACAGGCCAGGGAGAUCCCUAGUCUGGUUUGGUUCCUAGGCCCUACAGAUGUAAGAACAACUGGGAAACUGCCCUUUUUCUGUUACAUGAUUUCCCCUCCCCCAAGAAAAGUGAUAUUGAGAUUGAAGCAUAAUCACCUGAUUUUAGCAUCACAUCAUAUUCUGUCGAAUCUGAAACUGAAAUUUAAUAAUGUCAGCCACACAAGCCAAAGACACAAACUGGAGACAGAAAAAUAGACAGAAUAGGUAUUAAAUGACAGGUACAUCGUUACCAAAAAGCUCUAUUGCAACAAGAUCAAAAUUUUCCUCCCCAGAAGAACUGAACAUAUGAGCUGCUUGUUUACUACCGAUUCCUUUCUGUUCCACUGAGGUUAAUUUUUUAAGAGAAGCAACCAUAUCUUGUGGUGCCCAGAAUGUAUUCCAGUAGUAAGCUCGAAGUCCAGACUCUCCUUCACUGUGGAGGGAAAAAAAAUAUACAUCAUAAAUACACCUGAAUUAGUAUUUUGGACAGACUUUCCACUGGUCUGCAGUUUCGGCUUGCACACUUUCAUAGCCAGUUGAACGGCUGCAUGAAGAGUUGCAGCUGAACAUGGUGGCAAAAAGCUCUCCUGUUUAAUGAUUGUUUUGUCUAUACAGUAGAAAAACCUUGAAAAUACCUUCCUUAAACAGUUACACAUUGAGACUAAAAAUUAUACCUCACAG
This 1846-nucleotide long non-coding RNA is filed under the name Falco tinnunculus (common kestrel). RNAcentral describes it as "lncRNA (ENSFTIG00000007795.1)". The record is from RNAcentral. Lineage: Eukaryota; Metazoa; Chordata; Aves; Falconiformes; Falconidae.